UGCGUAGGCGGUGCUCCAAGUCUGUUGUGAAAUCUCCCGGCUUAACUGGGAGGGUGCAGCGGAAACUAGAGUGCUAGAGGGUGGGAGAGGUAAGCGGAAUUCCUGGUGUAGCGGUGAAAUGCGUAGAUAUCAGGAGGAACACCUGUGGUGUAGACAGCUUACUGGACCACUUCUGACGCUGAGGCACGAAAGCGUGGGUAGCAAACAGGAUUAGAUACCCUGGUAGUCCACGCCCUAAACGAUGCAUACUUGGUGUGAGCGAUUCAUUUCGUUCGUGCCGGAGCUAACGCGUUAAGUAUGCCGCCUGGGGAGUACGGUCGCAAGGCUGAA
Molecule: ribosomal RNA, 330 nt
Filed under: uncultured bacterium
Lineage: Bacteria
Description: bacterial SSU rRNA
Rfam family: Bacterial small subunit ribosomal RNA
Source: RNAcentral